This 460-nucleotide ribosomal RNA is filed under the name uncultured bacterium. RNAcentral's name for it is "partial 16S ribosomal RNA". It matches the Rfam family "Bacterial small subunit ribosomal RNA", at positions 338 to 795 of the family's 1533-position model. The record is from RNAcentral.
CCUACGGGAGGCUGCAGUGAGGAAUAUUGGUCAAUGGACGAGAGUCUGAACCAGCCAAGUAGCGUGAAGGAUGACUGCCCUAUGGGUUGUAAACUUCUUUUAUAUGGGAAUAAAAUGUUCCACGUGUGGGAUUUUGUAUGUACCAUAUGAAUAAGGAUCGGCUAACUCCGUGCCAGCAGCCGCGGUAAUACGGAGGAUCCGAGCGUUAUCCGGAUUUAUUGGGUUUAAAGGGAGCGUAGGUGGAUUGUUAAGUCAGUUGUGAAAGUUUGCGGCUCAACCGUAAAAUUGCAGUUGAAACUGGCAGUCGUGAGUACAGUAGAGGUGGGCGGAAUUCGUGGUGUAGCGGUGAAAUGCUUAGAUAUCACGAAGAACUCCGAUUGCGAAGGCAGCUCACUGGACUACAACUGACACUGAGGCUCGAAAGUGUGGGUAUCAAACAGGAUUAGAUACCCCAGUAGUC